CUCCCUGACCCUUUAAGGGUCCUGAAGGAACGUUGAAGACGACGACGUUGAUAGGCCGGGUGUGUAAGCGCAGCGAUGCGUUGAGCUAACCGGUACUAAUGAACCGUGAGGCUUAACCUUA
Molecule: ribosomal RNA, 121 nt
Filed under: Kosakonia radicincitans
Lineage: Bacteria; Pseudomonadati; Pseudomonadota; Gammaproteobacteria; Enterobacterales; Enterobacteriaceae
Description: partial 23S rRNA. Bacterial LSU
Rfam family: Bacterial large subunit ribosomal RNA
Source: RNAcentral